CUACGGGCGGCUCCAGUGGGGAAUAUUGGACAAUGGGGGAAACCCUGAUCCAGCAAUGCCGCGUGUGUGAAGAAGGCCUGCGGGUUGUAAAGCACUUUCGGUUGGGAGGACUGCUUCUAGCACUAAUAUUGUUGGAAGUUGACGUUACCUUCAGAAGAAGCACCGGCUAACUCCGUGCCAGCAGCCGCGGUAAUACGGAGGGUGCAAGCGUGAAUCGGAAUUACUGGGCGUAAAGCGCGCGUAGGCGGCUAGAUCAGUCGGGUGUGAAAGCCCCGGGCGUAACCUGGGAACUGCAUCCGAUACUGUCUAGCUUGAGUACAGGAGAGGGGAGUGGAAUUCCACAUGUAGCGGUGAAAUGCGUAGAUAUGUGGAGGAACACCAAUGGCGAAGGCAGCUCUCUGGCCUGAUACUGACGCUGAGGUGCGAAAGCGUGGGGAGCAAACAGGAUUAGAUACCCGCGUAGUC
Molecule: ribosomal RNA, 465 nt
Filed under: uncultured bacterium
Lineage: Bacteria
Description: partial 16S ribosomal RNA
Rfam family: Bacterial small subunit ribosomal RNA
Source: RNAcentral